This 321-nucleotide long non-coding RNA is filed under the name Elaeis guineensis (African oil palm). RNAcentral describes it as "long non-coding RNA (EGUI_LNC060372)". Lineage: Eukaryota; Viridiplantae; Streptophyta; Magnoliopsida; Arecales; Arecaceae. The record is from RNAcentral.
CCAGACUUCCUCCUAUCACAAUCAACUUUACUUCGAGCUUCUUCCGGACUUCAUCAAUGUCCGGGCUUCUCUAGAUUUCUCCCCCGAACUUCUAUUGCAAGCGGACUUCAUCCAAGUUUCUACGAUAAGUGGACUUCGUUCGAGCUUCUACAAUAAGCGGUCUCCAUCCGAGCUUCUACAGUAAACGGCCUCCUUUCAGACUCCUACAAGAAUCGAACUCCGUCCGAACUUCUACAUCAGACAAAUUUCAGACGGACUUCUCUAGCAAUCAAACUCCAGUCAGAUUUCUCCAACAGAAAAUUUUUAUCCGGGCUUCUAAGC